AGGACGAACGCUGGCGGCGUGCUUAACACAUGCAAGUCGAGCGGUAAGGCCCUUUCGGGGGUACACGAGCGGCGAACGGGUGAGUAACACGUGGGUGACCUGCCCUUAGCUCUGGGAUAAGCCUGGGAAACUGGGUCUAAUACCGGAUAUGACCUCGCGAUGCAUGUCGUGGGGUGGAAAGCCUUGUGCGGCUAGGGAUGGGCCCGCGGCCUAUCAGCUUGUUGGUGGGGUGAUGGCCUACCAAGGCGACGACGGGUAGCCGGCCUGAGAGGGCGACCGGCCACACUGGGACUGAGACACGGCCCAGACUCCUACGGGAGGCAGCAGUGGGGAAUCUUGCGCAAUGGGCGAAAGCCUGACGCAGCGACGCCGCGUGAGGGAUGACGGCCUUCGGUUGUAACCUCUUUCAGCCCUGACGAAGCGAAGUGACGGUAGGGCAGAAGAAGCACCGGCCAACUACGUGCCAGCAGCCGCGGUAA
Molecule: ribosomal RNA, 479 nt
Filed under: uncultured bacterium
Lineage: Bacteria
Description: SSU rRNA
Rfam family: Bacterial small subunit ribosomal RNA
Source: RNAcentral